AUACCCGAAUGGGGAAACCCAGUGUGAUUCGUCACACUAUCAUUAACUGAAUCCAUAGGUUAAUGAGGCGAACCGGGGGAACUGAAACAUCUAAGUACCCCGAGGAAAAGAAAUCAACCGAGAUUCCCCCAGUAGCGGCGAGCGAACGGGGAGGAGCCCAGAGCCUGAAUCAGCAUGUGUGUUAGUGGAAGCGUCUGGAAAGGCGCGCGAUACAGGGUGACAGCCCCGUACACAAAAGCGCAUGUGUUGUGAGCUCGAUGAGUAGGGCGGGACACGUGGUAUCCUGUCUGAAUAUGGGGGGACCAUCCUCCAAGGCUAAAUACUCCUGACUGACCGAUAGUGAACCAGUACCGUGAGGGAAAGGCGAAAAGAACCCCGGCGAGGGGAGUGAAAAAGAACCUGAAACCGUGUACGUACAAGCAGUGGGAGCACAGGUUUACCUGUGUGACUGCGUACCUUUUGUAUAAUGGGUCAGCGACUUAUAUUCUGUAGCAAGGUUAACCGUAUAGGGGAGCCGGAGGGAAACCGAGUCUUAAUUGGGCGUUAAGUUGCAGGGUAUAGACCCGAAACCCGGUGAUCUAGCCAUGGGCAGGUUGAAGGUUGGGUAACACUAACUGGAGGACCGAACCGACUAAUGUUGAAAAAUUAGCGGAUGACCUGUGGCUGGGGGUGAAAGGCCAAUCAAACCGGGAGAUAGCUGGUUCUCCCCGAAAGCUAUUUAGGUAGCGCCUCGUGAAUUCAUCUCCGGGGGUAGAGCACUGUUUCGGCUAGGGGGCCAUCCCGGCUUACCAACCCGAUGCAAACUGCGAAUACCGGAGAAUGUUAUCACGGGAGACACACGGCGGGUGCUAACGUCCGUCGUGAAGAGGGAAACAACCCAGACCGCCAGCUAAGGUCCCAAAGUCAUGGUUAAGUGGGAAACGAUGUGGGAAGGCCCAGACAGCCAGGAUGUUGGCUUAGAAGCAGCCAUCAUUUAAAGAAAGCGUAAUAGCUCACUGGUCGAGUCGGCCUGCGCGGAAGAUGUAACGGGGCUAAACCAU
Molecule: ribosomal RNA, 1040 nt
Filed under: Salmonella enterica subsp. enterica serovar Paratyphi B
Lineage: Bacteria; Pseudomonadati; Pseudomonadota; Gammaproteobacteria; Enterobacterales; Enterobacteriaceae
Description: partial 23S ribosomal RNA
Rfam family: Bacterial large subunit ribosomal RNA
Source: RNAcentral